ACGGGCCGGUACCUCACUUGGUUAUAGCGCGCGCCUUCCAUAAGCCGUGAGGUCCGGAAACUUCCAAGUCUUCCC
Molecule: transfer RNA, 75 nt
Filed under: uncultured low G+C Gram-positive bacterium
Lineage: Bacteria; Bacillati; Bacillota
Description: tRNA-Ala
Source: RNAcentral